UACGUAGGGGGCAAGCGUUGUCCGGAAUCAUUGGGCGUAAAGAGCGUGUAGGCGGCCCGGUAAGUCCGCUGUGAAAGUCCAGGGCUCAACCCUGGGAUGCCGGUGGAUACUGUCGGGCUCGAGUCCGGAAGAGGAGUGUGGAAUUCCUGGUGUAGCGGUGAAAUGCGCAGAUAUCAGGAGGAACACCAAUGGCGAAGGCAGCACUCUGGGACGUGACUGACGCUGAGACGCGAAAGCGUUGGGGAGCAAACAGG
RNAcentral lists this ribosomal RNA (254 nucleotides) under uncultured bacterium. Its description in RNAcentral is "partial 16S ribosomal RNA". It matches the Rfam family "Bacterial small subunit ribosomal RNA", at positions 524 to 776 of the family's 1533-position model. The record is from RNAcentral.